AAAAAAAAAAACCAAAAAAAAUUUUUUUUUUUUUAGGGGGGGGGGGGGGGGGGGGGGGGGGGGGGGGGGGGGGGGGGGGGGGGGGGGGGGGGGGGGCCCCCCCCCCCCCCCCCCCCCCCCCCCCCCCCCCCCCCCCCCCCCCCCCCCCCCCCCCCCCCCCCUUUUUUUUAAAAAAAAUCGUUUGAAAUCGUUUUCAAAAAAAAAUUAAAAAAAAAAAAACCCGCCAAUUUUUUUUAAAAAUUUUAAAAAAAAAAAAAUAAUAAAAAUUUUUCGUUUUCCCGUUUUUAAAAAAAAAAAUUUUUUUUUUUUUUUUUUUUUGCCCUUUUUUGUUUUAAAACGGGCGUUAAAAAAAAAAAAAAAACGCCCCCU
Small nucleolar RNA from Dalotia coriaria, 369 nucleotides. RefSeq annotates it as small nucleolar RNA snR83. NCBI's taxonomy places the organism in Eukaryota, Metazoa, Arthropoda, Insecta, Coleoptera, Staphylinidae. The transcript has a single exon. The record is from RefSeq and is a predicted model, not a curated record.